Molecule: ribosomal RNA, 167 nt
Filed under: uncultured rumen bacterium
Lineage: Bacteria
Description: partial 16S ribosomal RNA
Rfam family: Bacterial small subunit ribosomal RNA
Source: RNAcentral
UACGGGAGGCAGCAGUGGGGGAUAUUGCACAAUGGGCGAAAGCCUGAUGCAGCGACGCCGCGUGAGGGAAGAAGGUCUUCGGAUUGUAAACCUUUGUCCUAUGGGAAGAUAAUGACGGUACCAUGGGAGGAAGCCACGGCUAACUACGUGCCAGCAGCCGCGGUAAU